AAGCGGAGGAAAAGAAACCAACAGGGAUUGCCUUAGUAACGGCGAGUGAAGCGGCAACAGCUCAAAUUUGAAAGCUGGCCCUUUUAGGGUCCGCGUUGUAAUUUGUAGAGGAUGAUUCGGCGAGGGCUCCCGCCUAAGUCCCCUGGAACGGGGCGUCAUAGAGGGUGAGAAUCCCGUAUGCGGUGGGUUGCCUUAGCCAUGUGAAUCUCCUUCGACGAGUCGAGUUGUUUGGGAAUGCAGCUCUAAAUUGGAGGUAAAUUUCUUCUAAAGCUAAAUACUGGCCAGAGACCGAUAGCGCACAAGUAGAGUGAUCGAAAGAUGAAAAGCACUUUGGAAAGAGAGUUAAAAAGCACGUGAAAUUGUUGAAAGGGAAGCGCUUGCAACCAGACUUGUCCGCAGUUGCUCAACCGGUCUCCUGACCGGUGUACUCUUCUGCGGCCAGGCCAGCAUCAGUUCGGGCGGUCGGAUAAAGACCUUGGGAAUGUAGCUCCUCUCGGGGAGUGUUAUAGCCCAAGGUGGAAUGCGGCCAGCCUGGACUGAGGAACUCGCUUCGGCAAGGAUGCUGGCGUAAUGGUUGUAAG
This 581-nucleotide ribosomal RNA is filed under the name Botryosphaeriaceae sp. JAL-2011a. RNAcentral's name for it is "LSU rRNA". It matches the Rfam family "Eukaryotic large subunit ribosomal RNA", at positions 48 to 644 of the family's 3401-position model. Lineage: Eukaryota; Fungi; Ascomycota; Dothideomycetes; Botryosphaeriales; Botryosphaeriaceae. The record is from RNAcentral.